Molecule: unclassified non-coding RNA, 222 nt
Filed under: uncultured Acaulospora
Lineage: Eukaryota; Fungi; Glomeromycota; Glomeromycetes; Diversisporales; Acaulosporaceae
Description: sequence contains ITS1
Rfam family: 5.8S ribosomal RNA (bases 1-96)
Source: RNAcentral
GAAAUGCGAUAAGUAGUGUGAAUUGCAGAACCACGAAUCAUCAGAUCUUUGAACGCAUCUGGCGCCGGUACACCCGGCAUACUUGUUUCAGUGUGCUCAAACAACUAAAACUAAACCUAAAUGUGGGAGAAGUUCUCUCAUUAAAUAAAACCAAUCGUCACUUUUAUUAGUGAUUAGACUUAAUGUCACCUGAAAUCAUGUAAGAUGACCCGCUGGACUUAA